GCGCUCCCGACGCGAGCACUGUGCAGCGCGCCAGCUCGGCUCCUCUCCGCGGAAGGGCCCUGCGGCGGCGGCGGCCUCGAGGGCUUGCGGCCGGAGGACCCCGGAGCCGCCUACGCGGUGCUCUGAGAAGUGGAAGGACUUGCGGGCUUGCGUGCUGAGCUGUGGAGGCUGUGAGCUGUCCCUCCCGCUUCUCUCUCUUCCAUCCUCUUCCCCCACUCUGGUUUCUCCUCCCCUUUUCUCCCUCUCCCUCCGCCCUCCUUCCCCUCCUUCGUCCCUCCCCUUUCCUCUCCUCCUCCUUCCUUCCCUUCCCCCUCUUCCUUCUCCCUUCCUUUUCUUCCUCCCGCUCCGCCCUCCUCCUCCCUCCUCCUUUGCCCUGUUCCUCCUUUCUACUUCCAGGAAUGCCCUCCUGCCCUGACACCUGGCCCUUUUGGAGCCAGGAAGAGAGGAGACGGGAUCACAGCCCUGCAUGACAAGAGCCUCCAGCGCACAGCAGACGGACAGUGUCACAGUCCGCCCCUGCAGGGUGGUAACAAGGGCUCGGGCCGGACUCUGAGGCAAACAGCCUGAACGUAUGUUGUCUCAGCAAGGAGAGAAAAGUAACCAAGACAAAUCCAAUGCAGCUCUCCAGCCUGAAGGAAGCAGAGUUGGGCAGAAAAGACCAGGUCAAAGAGUCAGGUCCUGUGGCAAGUGGAGAACUGGACCCCAGGCCCAGGCCACCUCCUCACCUUCAGGCAGUCACAGCAAGGACAUUCAGCUCAACUUUCUUCAGCCUCGCCAGCCUGCACACUCGGCAGGGGAAUCCAAGGAUGAAGCAGCGUGGGAAUUUCCUGGACUAUUUUCUUGUAUUCCUCUUCACUGUCCUCACAAUACAAGCCCUUGCACACACGAACACAGGAAGACAGAGAUUUAAGACAAAGGCCUCUUCGUCUCCUUCAGAACUAGCUUUGAAUAAACUCUUUCCACCAAAAAUUGUCUCUCGUGUACUGGGGAGUGAUGGUCAGUAAGGACAUUAACCUCCAGUAAUGGAAGGACUCGGUCUAGUGACCUUUCAUCUGGCCAAAGUAUUGGUGGGAGUAGCUGCAGCUGCAAACUGACAAAGGUGCUCCUGUGGAAUUUCACAGGGCAAGGAGCUACUCACGAGGCAAACCUGGGAAAGAGAACACUAUGAGUUGGUAUGGGCCUACAUGAACACUAGCUAAUCAAUCGAAGGCUUCUGGGGGGCCAUAAACACUUUGAUGUUGUUUGGAUUCUGACCUCCAGAUUUUUUUCAAAUUGCAAAUUUGAAUACUUUUGGAUAUACACUGAUGGCCUGAUUAUCGUCAAUGCCAAGUUAGUCACUGGUAGCAGUGGCCUAUAAGGGGUCUCCAGGUGGCCAUUGUCAAGGAAGGGUCUCAAGAAAGCCGUUUGUGUUGUGUGGGCCAGGGCAAAAGUCAGUGAAAUCUGAGUCCUCUCUAUUUACAGUCACAUUUGUUUGCAUAGAUUCAUGAAACCCAGGGAAGCUUGAAUUACAAUAAUAAAAAUUUAAAAAUAAUAAAAACAUAACAAAAAUCACAGCAAUGUCAUUAUUUGU
This is a long non-coding RNA of Chinchilla lanigera (long-tailed chinchilla), 1570 nucleotides long. The record is from Ensembl. NCBI's taxonomy places the organism in Eukaryota, Metazoa, Chordata, Mammalia, Rodentia, Chinchillidae.